AAGUCGUAACAAGGUUUCCGUAGGUGAACCUGCGGAAGGAUCAUUAACAAAUCAGGAGCUUGCUCCACAGAGUUCUCUCAGAUAGACUUUGGUCUUGAUGAGGUCCUCUAUAUCAACCUGUUGUAUUGUUUGACAAAAUUUGGUGCCAAAUAUAAAACAACUUUUAACAAUGGAUCUCUUGGCUCUU
This 187-nucleotide unclassified non-coding RNA is filed under the name fungal sp. RNAcentral's name for it is "partial internal transcribed spacer region". The stretch from base 1 to 46 matches the Rfam family "Eukaryotic small subunit ribosomal RNA", at positions 1786 to 1831 of the family's 1831-position model. Lineage: Eukaryota; Fungi. The record is from RNAcentral.